Long non-coding RNA from Pangasianodon hypophthalmus (striped catfish), 712 nucleotides. RefSeq lists it as uncharacterized. NCBI's taxonomy places the organism in Eukaryota, Metazoa, Chordata, Actinopteri, Siluriformes, Pangasiidae. The transcript is spliced from 3 exons. The record is from RefSeq and is a predicted model, not a curated record.
CAGACCUCAAAUUCUAGACAUUCUUCUUUGCUUAUCACAUUCGUUUCCUGUUCCAAGACUAUAUAAAGCACAUGGUUUCUCAUUCUUUUUGUGAAGUCUUGCUGAGUGUCCUAAUUUAUGUUACAGCCACAAACUCCAGCUCCCCGAAUUCACCUCCGCAGAGUAAUAUGGCCGAGUCCACAUCCAUUUCCCAUCAGCGCCAUGGACUGCAAACCAGGAGAGUUCAAAACACCUACGCAGAUCAGACAGGGUCACGGGCACCCAAGGCUCAUUGAUGUGCGUGCGGAGUGAAGGUUGGCCGUUUUUUCUGAUCCCACAGAAGAGCUACUGUAGCAUUCAUUGCUGAAAAGUUAGUGCUGGUUAUGAUAGAAAGGUGUCAGGACACACAGUGCAUCGCAGCUUGAUGCGUAUGGGGCUGCGUAGCCGUAGACUGGUCAGAGUGCCCAUGCUGACCCCUGUCCACUGCCAAAAGUACCUACAAUGGGCACGUGAGCAUCAGAACUGGACCGUGAAGCAAUGGAAGAAGGUGGCCUGGUCUGAUGAAUCAUGUUUUUCAUGUGGAUGGCUGGGUGUGUGUGUGUUGCUUACCUGUGGAAGAGAUGGCACCAGGAUGCACUAUGGGAAGAAGGCAAGCCGUUUAUACUGAAACAUCCUCCUUUUAUAAUCCCGAUUUUCAUCUUAAUCAAACUAGCCUUAUUUGUCUUAUUUGAGU